RNAcentral lists this ribosomal RNA (216 nucleotides) under Alexandrium margalefii. Its description in RNAcentral is "partial Bacterial large subunit ribosomal RNA". It matches the Rfam family "Bacterial large subunit ribosomal RNA", at positions 2233 to 2448 of the family's 2925-position model. Lineage: Eukaryota; Dinophyceae; Gonyaulacales; Pyrocystaceae. The record is from RNAcentral.
CCGUUAUCCGGAUCGGGGACCGUGUAUGGUGGGUAGUUUGACUGGGGCGGUCUCCUCCUAAAGAGUAACGGAGGAGCGCAAAGGUACUCUCAGUACGGUCGGACAUCGUACGUUGCGUGCAAAGGCAUAAGAGUGCUUGACUGCGAGACAGACACGUCGAGCAGGGGCGAAAGCCGGUCUUAGUGAUCCGGUGGUUCUGUAUGGAAGGGCCAUCGC